This 72-nucleotide transfer RNA is filed under the name Marmota monax (woodchuck). It matches the Rfam family "tRNA". From Rfam's summary of the family: Transfer RNA (tRNA) molecules are approximately 80 nucleotides in length. Lineage: Eukaryota; Metazoa; Chordata; Mammalia; Rodentia; Sciuridae. The record is from Rfam by way of RNAcentral.
GGGGUUGUGGCUCAGUGGUAGAGCGCUCGCCUCGCACGUGCGAGACCCUGGGUUCAAUCACCAGCACCACUG